Molecule: long non-coding RNA, 690 nt
Filed under: Mus caroli (Ryukyu mouse)
Lineage: Eukaryota; Metazoa; Chordata; Mammalia; Rodentia; Muridae
Description: lncRNA (MGP_CAROLIEiJ_G0013259.1)
Source: RNAcentral
CCCCUCAGCCUGUACUCCUCCCCGAGGCGGAGGGCGGGCCUAUCGUGCCCGCGGCAACUCCGCCCUCCGGGCUCUCGGGGGCGUGGCCAGAGGGGAAAUUUUGUGAGCCUGAAGAAGGUGGGGCUAGAGGAGGAGUCUGAGGGCGUGUGAGGGGCGGGGUUUAAGUGGACGCAGCGAGCAGCCGUGCGUCUUGACGUCACGAAGACCUUAUAUACUCGACUCAGCCGCCAUCUCAGCCUUUCGGAGCUGUGCGGCGCGCUGAGCAGGAAUGGCAAUGUGGACCUCUGAUGGAACAUCUGGUGGGAUCUCACAGUCAGUUCUGUGGCAAAGGAGGAUGAAGACUUAAAGAGGACUCAACAGGAAGCUGGAUAACAGAAAGAGAGCAAUGUGCUAGAAUAGAAGACCAGAAAAUGAAAGAUAUGAAAAAAAGGUGGAGUUUAAGGCUGGAUAUACAGCUUGAAAAGUAUGAACGCAUGGGUCACUUCAAGUGAAGGCACUGCAAACACAAUGAUCAGUCAUUCUGGAUUUCUGGUCCUUCUGAAUUUUAAAGGCUGCGGUGACAAGUGGACAUGCAGUGACUACCUUUUGUACCUUCCUGUUUCUGAGGUGCCUGGAUGGAGGUUCAAAUAGAAGAUAGUGUCAGAUAUACAUUGUGUUGUCAAAAUUUUACCAUUAAAGUGCAUUACAACA